RNAcentral lists this ribosomal RNA (800 nucleotides) under uncultured cyanobacterium. RNAcentral describes it as "bacterial SSU rRNA". It matches the Rfam family "Bacterial small subunit ribosomal RNA", at positions 28 to 869 of the family's 1533-position model. The record is from RNAcentral. Lineage: Bacteria; Bacillati; Cyanobacteriota.
GAUGAACGCUGGCGGUAUGCCUUACACAUGCAAGUCGUACGAGAGUUUUUAACUCAAGUGGCGGACGGGUGAGUAACACGUAAGAAUUUGCCUUUAGGAGGGGGAUAACAACUGGAAACGGUUGCUAAUACCCCAUAUGCUUUCGAGUGAAAUGGAUUUCCGCCUAGAGAGAAGCUUGCGGCUGAUUAGCUUGUUGGUGAGGUAAUGGCUCACCAAGGCGACGAUCAGUAUCUGGUUUGAGAGGACGAUCAGACACACUGGAACUGAGACACGGUCCAGACUCCUACGGGAGGCAGCAGUGGGGAAUUUUCCGCAAUGGGCGAAAGCCUGACGGAGCAAUACCGCGUGAGGGAUGACGGCCUAUGGGUUGUAAACCUCUUUUUUCAGGGAGGAAUCAAUGACGUGUACCUGAAGAAUAAGCAUCGGCUAACUCCGUGCCAGCAGCCGCGGUAAGACGGAGGAUGCAAGUGUUAUCCGGAAUCACUGGGCGUAAAGCGUCUGUAGGUGGUUUAAUAAGUCAACUGUUAAAUCUUGAGGCUCAACCUCAAAAUCGCAGUCGAAACUAUUAGACUAGAGUAUAGUAGGGGUAAAGGGAAUUUCCAGUGGAGCGGUGAAAUGCGUAGGUAUUGGAAGGAACACCGAUGGCGAAGGCACUUUACUGGGCUAUUACUAACACUCAGAGACGAAAGCUAGGGUAGCAAAUGGGAUUAGAUACCCCAGUAGUCCUAGCUGUAAACAAUGGAUACUAGAUGUUGAACAGAUCGACCUGUGCAGUAUCAAAGCUAACGCGUUAAGUAUCC